CAGUUAUAAUUCUGCAGAGUGUGGCCACUGCUUCUCCCAUCCUCCUUUCCCAAGGACGGUGGGGAUUGCUAUAGGGCUGGUAGGUAGUUUACCGUCCCUUCUAUAGGCAUAGAUUUGGCACUGACAUCACAGCUUCAUAACCCCCACCACGGCCAGCUUCCCCUGCCUGUUAUCCUAGAUCCAGUCUGUUCUUGUUCAUUGAGAAUCCUGUGUUCCCACUUCAGUGACACCUGAAUUUUUUUUUAAUUGUCUUCAAGGAGGCCUCAUCUGGUUGUGUACCUAGUCAAAUCCCCAUGAUAUCUCAGUAGAAGAAAGAAGGAGGAUCUUAAAACUUCAGGGAAGAAAUAAUUUCUUCAACGAAGACGAUAUAAGGUUGACACCAGAACUCUCAUGAGAAAACUGUAAACCAGAAGACAAUAACUUAACAACUUAUCCGUGUUAUACUAUUCUAAUAUGUACAAGAGUAAAAAUAAGAUUGGCAGCUGCGGGGAGAUGCGUGCAAAAGAGCAUCAGUGAGAGGGCCAUAUAUACACAGGGCAGAAGAGAACUAAUUAUGCCAAAGAAAUGUUCUUCCCUAUGGACUUGACACAAUAAUGGAGCCUCUGAUUUCUUUCAAAAAGUAACAAGCUGAAGAGGUUUAGUAGAAGCCAUUUUUAUUAGAAGGCUUGAAGGAAUUACAGUGUUUUGGACAAGGAACACAAAGAAAAUUGAAACUAAGUUUUGUAUAUUUCAAUUUAAAGUCUGCUUUAACAGGUAAAGUAGGGUAAAGUAGUGGAAAUUUGAUAAUACGCAAAAAUGUUUCUAUAUUUUGCAGAAAGAAACCUGGAGAAAUUGUAAUAGGAUGUAAAAGUAUGUAUAUAAUUUAGAAUUAACAGGAAAAAAAAAACUCAGUGCCUUAAAGAAGGAGCUGAUUUCAUUUACAUCACAUAGGAUAAACUAAUAGAAUUUUAAUAUUAAUACCUUCAGUACAGUGAAUUAAUCUCAGGAUAACCGUUUAAAUGUUUAGCUAGUUCAUUUUAAAAUAGAAGGUGUAGUACUUUACUUACUGUAUAGCCUAGAGAUUGCACAUAGAGAUGAAGGAUUAUGAUAUUAAAUCUAGAAACACAUGUCUUUAUGUUUGGGGGCAACCUAAGUGUAUAUGUAUAAGGUGACAAUGUGUGUAUGAUUAUGACUAUUUAUUAACCAUCACUAUGAAAAUGUAAAAUGUAGUGAAAGUAUUUGUAUAACUUAACUGAACCACUAUGAGUUUUUUGUUUUAUUUUGUUUUUUCAAGACAUGCUCUUCCUGUGUCAUCCAGGCUGGAGUGCAGCGGUGCAAUCACGGCUCACUGCAGCCUUGAACUCCCAGGUUCAAGUGAUCCUCCCACCUUAGCCUCCUGUGUAGCUAGGACUACAGGCAUGCAUCACCAUGCCCCAUGCCACCACGGUUACCACACCUUGCUAAUUUUUGUAUUUUUUGUAGAGACGGGAUUUUGUUAGGCACACCCAGGCUGAUCUGGAACUCUUGGGCUGAAGCCCACAUCCUCUUAUAGUGCUGGGAUUACAGGUGUGACCCACUGUUCCUGACCACCUCUAUGAAUUCCUAAAUAUACUAUAUGAAUUACGCUAUUUUCCUUUGUCUGUAUUCACAAGUGACAUUCACCUGAUGAUUUACAUAUUUUAUUUUGCGUAUAUUUUCUUUUCUUUGUUCACAAAGAAUAUAGAAAUGACAAUACGUGUUAAGUAGGUCCCAUUUCUUCAUUCCAUUGUGUUUGAUGUUUUAGUAUCAUUGGUAACAUUGUUUUUUUGUCAGAACAUUCUUGACUAUACAAGAGUCGAUCAUUUAAAGCUACUUUCAUUAUAAUCUUCUAAAGUACUCUUAGGAGAUAAUCAGGAAAAAACAUACAGAUAAAUAUAUAGAUAUGUUGCGGGAAAUCAGGGAUUCUGAACAGAGGGACCUGCUGAAGCUGUGACAGAAUAACAUAAAUUGUGAAGAUUUCAUGGACAUUUAUUCAUUCCCCAAAUUAAUACUUUUAUAAUUUCUUAUACCUGUCUUUACUACAAUCUCUGAACAUAAAUUGUGAAGAUUCCAUGGACAUUUAUCACUUCCCCAAUCAAUACUCUUGUGAUUUCCUAUGUCUGUCUUUAAUCUAUUAAUCCCAUCAUCUUCAUAAGCUGAGGAUGUAUGUCGCCUCAGGACCCUGUGAUGAUUGUGUUAACUGCACAAAUUGUUCAUAAAGCAUGUGUGUUUAAACAAUAUGAAAUCUGGGCACCUUGAAAAAAGAACAGGAUAACAGCGAUGUUCAGGGAAAAAGGGAGAUAACCAUUGGGCCUGACUGCCUGAGGUGCCAGGUGGAACAGAGUCAUAUUUCUCUUCUUACAAAAGCGAAUAGGAGAAAUAUCGCUGAAUUCUUUUUCUCAGCAAGGAACAGCCCUGAGAAAGAAUGCAUUCCCAGAGGGAGGUCUCUAAAAUGGCCACUCUAGGAAUGUCUGUCUUAUACGGUUGUAAACAAGGGAUGAAACAAGCCCCAGUCUACCGUAGGGCCCCCAGGCCUAUAGGAUCAGGAAAUUCCUGCCUAGUAAAUUUUAGUCAGACCGGUUGUCUGCUCUCAAACCCUGUCACCUGAUAAGAUGUUAUCAAUGACAAUGCGUGCCCAGUGGGACAUGAAAGUUAAUUAGCAAUUUUAAUUUCAUCCUGGUCCCAUGAUCUCGCUCUGCCCCCAUUUGCCUUGUGAUAUUUUAUUGCCUUGUGAAGCAUACAACCUCUGUGACCCACACCCUAUUCAUACACUCCCUCCUUUUCAAAUCCAUAAUAAAAACUUGCUGGUUUUGUGGCUUGGGGGCAUCACGGAACCUGCUGACAUAUGAUGUCUCCCUUGGACACCCAGCUUUAAAAUUUCUCUGUUUUGUAUUCUUUCCCUUUAUUUCUCAGACCAACCGACACUCAGGGAAAAUAGAAAAGAACCCACGUUGAAAUAUCGGGGGCUGGUUCCCCCGAUAUAGAUAUAUUUUUAAAAUCGAAGAGACAUUAUAAUGUUAUUUUAUUGUAUCUCUUAUUGAAUGGGACUUUCCUUUCUUUCUUUCUUUCUUUCUCCCUCUCUCUGUCUCUACUUCUUCCUUCCUUCCUAGCUUCUUUCCUUCCUUGCUUCCUUUCUUUGUUUUCUUCCUUCUUUGGAUAUUGCUGUGAACACAGCGUAUAGACAAAGUAAAAUCCUCUCUGCUAAAAUCAUGUGUUUAUGCACAUAAUAGGCUAACACUAUGGAUAUGCAAUCUACCAUUUGAAAAUAGUUCAUUCCAGACUAAUCUCACUUUAUUCACGAUUGUUAUAUCUUGACAUAUGUCCCCCCAAAACUUCAUAUGUUGAAUUGUAUUCCAAAACGUCAGACUUUGACUGUCUUUGGACAUAGGACCUUUAAAGAGGUCAUUAAUUUAAAAUGUCUUUAGAAUAGACCCUAAUCCAGUAUGAUUUAUCAGAAAAGGCAAUUAGGAUACACAGUGGGUCAACCUAUGUGAGGACACAACUAGAAGGAGGCCAUCCUCAAGCCAAGGAAAGGGGCCACAGAAGAACUUAGCUUGCCAAUGCCAACACCUUGAUCUUAAACUUCCAGGCUUCCGUAAUUGUGAGGAAGUAUUUUUACGUUGUUUAAACUACCCAGUCUGUGUUAUUUUGUUACAGCAGACCUAGUAAACUAAAACAACAACUUAGAUGCUUGUGCGUUUAAAGGUUGUAACUUUAACAUGCUUUCUUUUUGUUCAUUCACUCUCAUGUAUGUGUCUGCAUUCUCUUAGGUUAACUUUUUCACAUGUAUGACUUUGAGUACAAUCUUAUUGCUGCUGAUGCCGACCAAACCUUAGCCUCUAAUAAUUUAGACUCAUAUAAAACUGAUUAAUGGAUAUAUAAUUUAUUGUUGCAUGGGUUUCACAAACUCAGGAUGUCCCAAAUGAAUUCUUCAUUUUUUCUACAAUUCUGUUCAUGUGCUCGCAUACUUUCUACAGCAGUAAGUGGUGGGAUAUUCUAGUAAGUAGACCAAAUAUGGGAAUCUAUAAUUUCUGUGGCAAGUGCAUAGUCUAUUAAUUACUAUAAUGUGAUCUUGUCCAGUUGCACAAGUCCCCCAAUUAUAAUUGUCUCCCAUUAUUUUAUAUUUAGUCUUGAAAUUUCACUUAUAAAUAAAAGAAUUAGUUUUUCAAAUUUAAUAUAAACAAGAAACCAAUACCAAACUAAACAAGCACAAAACAAAUAAAAACGAUUAUAAUAUUUAUUAGGAUUGCCUGGAAUGUAAACAUAAAUAUGAGUAUAGUUAAUAUCUAAAUGAUAUUGAGACUUCAUAGUAGCCAUGAAAUUUUUAUAUAUUUUAAAUUAUUCAGGUGUUAUUUUCUUUCAGUAUAGUUUUAUAAUUCUCUGGAUACCUUUCUUAAAUUUAUUAUUGAAUUUAUGCCUAUGCAUUUUAUAUUUUUAUUAAAAUUAUAAGUGACAUCCUCUAUUAAAGAAUAUUUUCUAAAUGACUAUUGCUGGUUUAUAUAAAUGUAAUUUAUUUUUGCAUUUAAUUUAUAUUUAAUGUAGGUAUUUUGAGUUUUCUUUGUAGGAGAUAAUAUAAACUGCCAAUAUUCAUGCUUUUUCUUAUUAAACACUUUAUACCCAUUAUUGAUUUUUCAUUAUGUACUCCACAAUAUCUUUUAUUACAAAGUUGUUGUUAUCUUUUCUAUUGUUCAGGUUUUAAUGAAAUUCUUAGUAUUUUACUGUGAUGUUUACUGAAGGUUUUUGUAAAUACCCUUCAUUACGUUAAGUAAGUUUUCUUCUUUGAUAUGUGGUAAGAAUUUUUAUUAUGAAAGCAUUUUAAUUUGUUCAAAGCUAUUUUCUGCUUCUAUCAACAUGACAUUAUGCUAUUACUUUUCCUUAAUUAUUAACAUGGUGAAUAUAUUUUAUUAAUUCUGUAAUAUCAAACUUUACAUCCUUAUAAGUAAUGUAAAACAGGAUGUUUGAUUUAUUGAUAUUAGGUUAACUGCUUUUUUUUAACCUGAUAAUUUAAGUACUUUUAAAAUCAUUUGUUAAACCUCAAGAGAAAUGUAUCAAGAUUUCAUUGUUCUCAUAGUUAUUUAAAGAUUAGUAGCCCUCUUAAGUUCUCUGGAAAAUUACUAUACAAUUCUAGUAUAUAUUUUUAAAACUGCUUCUCAUCUUGAAGCAAUAAAGCAUUUGAGAAAAACACUAGAAUCAAGUUCUAUCAUCUCCAAUUAGAAUCUUUGUAGUUUUAGGAACAAUUUUUCUGCCUCAGUUUUCUCAUCUACAAAAUAAGGAUAAAAUAUUACUUAUAUACAUUGUUGUUUUGAGAAUAAAAUAAUGUACUAUAAUAGUGUAUUUUAUAACUGUACAUAAAUAAAUGAAAUGCUAUUGUUACAUAUAAUUACUAUCUUGUGUAAUUAAGUUCUGGUGUAUUUCAG
RNAcentral lists this long non-coding RNA (5414 nucleotides) under Homo sapiens (human). RNAcentral describes it as "HSALNT0147924". The record is from RNAcentral. Lineage: Eukaryota; Metazoa; Chordata; Mammalia; Primates; Hominidae.